RNAcentral lists this ribosomal RNA (253 nucleotides) under uncultured bacterium. RNAcentral describes it as "partial 16S ribosomal RNA". It matches the Rfam family "Bacterial small subunit ribosomal RNA", at positions 524 to 776 of the family's 1533-position model. The record is from RNAcentral.
UACGUAGGGUGCGAGCGUUGCCCGGAAUUAUUGGGCGUAAAGGGCUCGUAGGCGGUUUGUCGCGUCGGGAGUGAAAACCUCGGGCUUAACUCGGGGCUUGCUUUCGAUACGGGCAGACUGGAGGUAUGCAGGGGAGAACGGAAUUCCUGGUGUAGCGGUGAAAUGCGCAGAUAUCAGGAGGAACACCGGUGGCGAAGGCGGUUCUCUGGGCAUUACCUGACGCUGAGGAGCGAAAGUGUGGGGAGCGAACAGG